GAUGAACGCUGGCGGCGUGCCUAAUACAUGCAAGUCGAGCGAACGGACGAGAAGCUUGCUUUUCUGAUGUUAGCGGCGGACGGGUGAGUAACACGUGGAUAACCUACCUAUAAGACUGGGAUAACUUCGGGAAACCGGAGCUAAUACCGGAUAAUAUUUUGAACCGCAUGGUUCAAAAGUGAAAGACGGUCUUGCUGUCACUUAUAGAUGGAUCCGCGCUGCAUUAGCUAGUUGGUAAGGUAACGGCUUACCAAGGCAACGAUGCAUAGCCGACCUGAGAGGGUGAUCGGCCACACUGGAACUGAGACACGGUCCAGACUCCUACGGGAGGCAGCAGUAGGGAAUCUUCCGCAAUGGGCGAAAGCCUGACGGAGCAACGCCGCGUGAGUGAUGAAGGUCUUCGGAUCGUAAAACUCUGUUAUUAGGGAAGAACAUAUGUGUAAGUAACUGUGCACAUCUUGACGGUACCUAAUCAGAAAGCCACGGCUAACGACGUG
Molecule: ribosomal RNA, 497 nt
Filed under: uncultured bacterium
Lineage: Bacteria
Description: partial 16S ribosomal RNA
Rfam family: Bacterial small subunit ribosomal RNA
Source: RNAcentral